Molecule: long non-coding RNA, 807 nt
Filed under: Numida meleagris (helmeted guineafowl)
Lineage: Eukaryota; Metazoa; Chordata; Aves; Galliformes; Numididae
Description: lncRNA (ENSNMEG00000005008.1)
Source: RNAcentral
ACUUGGUGGGGUCUAGGUGGGAUCUGGGGGAAUCUAGGUGGAAUCUGGGGGGAUCCGGGGGAUCUAGGUGGGAUGCAGGGAGGUCUGGGGGAUCUUGGGGGGGUCUAGGUGGGAUCUGGGGGGUCUAGGUGGGAUCUGGGGGGUCUAGGUGGGAUUUUAGGGUAACUUGGGGGGGUCUUGGGGAUCUAGGAGGGAUCUGGUUGGGAUCUGGGGUAACUCAGUGGGAUCUGGAGGGUCCAGGUGGGAUCUGGGUGGGAUCUGGGGGUAACUCGAUGGGAUCUGGGGGGAUCUAGGUGGGAUCUGGGGUAACCAGGAGGGAUCUGGGGGGAUCUGGGUGGGAUCUGGGGUAACCAGGAGGGAUCUGGAGGGAUCUAGGAGGGAUCUGGGGGUAACUAGGAGGGAUCUGAGGGGUCUAGGUGGGAUUUGGGGGUAACUAGGAGGAGUCUUGGGGNCACCCCAAAAUCCCCCUCCAAAAUGGGGCGAAAUCCCACGAUUUUGGGGUCCCCCAUCCUCCUCCUUCAGACACCUCAGAAUGGGGCAAAACCCCUCAGUUUUGGGGUUCCCGUCCUCCUCCUUUAGACAGCUCAAAAUGGGACAAAACUUCACAAUUUUGGGGCUCCUCCAGGCACCUCAAAAUGGGGCAAAACCUCACGAUUUUGGGGUCCCCAUCCUCCUCCUUCAGACACCUCAAAAUGGGGCGAAAUCCCACGAUUUUGGAGUCCCCAUCCUCCUCCUUCAGACACCUCAGAAUGGGGCAAAACCCCUCAAUUUUGGGGUUUCUUGAACCACCUCAGAAUGGGGCAAAAC